This is a non-coding RNA of Chinchilla lanigera (long-tailed chinchilla), 547 nucleotides long. Lineage: Eukaryota; Metazoa; Chordata; Mammalia; Rodentia; Chinchillidae. The record is from the annotation of a RefSeq genome assembly.
GUCACAUUCAUCUUUCACGGAUUAAACUUUCUUUACAUUAAGAAGUCAAGAUUCAGGGACUCUGGAGACUCUGGAAAUGAACUCUUUUUCAGGACCAGUGAUUCUACUAUUCUUAAUGAUUGGACGAGUCAGUGGAGACUCAGUGACCCAGACAGAAGGCCAAGUGACCCUCUUUGAAAGGGGUUCCCUAACUGUGAAUUGUUCCUAUGAAACCCAGCAGUAUGCAAGCCUAUUUUGGUAUGUCCAGUACCCUGGAGAAGGUCCACAACUCCUCCUAAAAGCCAUUACAGCUAAUGAACAGGCAAGAAACAGAGGUUUUGAAGCUACAUAUGAUAAAGCCGCCAGCUCCUUCCACUUGGAGAAAGCCUCAGUGGAAGCGUCAGACUCGGCUGUGUACUACUGUGCUCUGGGUGACACAGUGGCAGGAACUGCAGGGGGAGCCGAGCACAAACUUUAAGCAGCAACCAGGGUCCUUAGUGCUGAGAGUCUGCCUCUAGGAUCCACUGUGGUUUAGGGACCAGGAACUAAUCCAUUAUUUUUACCUCCC